This is a long non-coding RNA of Oncorhynchus nerka (sockeye salmon), 3776 nucleotides long. RefSeq lists it as uncharacterized. NCBI's taxonomy places the organism in Eukaryota, Metazoa, Chordata, Actinopteri, Salmoniformes, Salmonidae. The record is from RefSeq and is a predicted model, not a curated record. The transcript has 8 exons.
GUGGACAACCUAGCACUGAGAAUGAACUCAACCAUCACUGAACCACUACAAAAUGCUCUGCAUAAUGUAACAAACCAAAUGAUGUGCUCUGUUCAGAAAAAGCAUCUUACCUGUGAGAGACGAUGAUUGGCUCUGGCAUUUAUCACAAAAAGUAACUUGUUUCACUGCGACAGCUCCAUGUUGGUCAAUGCCCCUUUGCCCUUCAUCGGAGUCAGAUGUAUGGAGUUGCUGACCAGUGAUGCUGGAGUUAGCUAGAAGCUGAUCGGGUUGAAUGUUGUCCUGUGUACCACACAUCAAAGAAACAUUAUUAUUUGAGAUAAGCUCUAUUAUUGAAACUAAAUACAGUUAGGUGUUUUGUUACUAUUUAUCAUUGAUUAUUUUCACAUUAACCCAGCUUUAACCAUAAGUCAUUAUAACUAAAAUGAUCGAAUAGCCUAUGGACAGUAUGACUUUGGUCCGUGUAUCAUCAUCGUUCAUUAAAUUAUUUUUGAAAAUCCAGAGAACAAAAAAAAAGAAAUGCUAGCUAACUACUUACUUGUUCCUGUGGUACUUGGCCGUCCUCCGAUGGCUGUUCAUCUGGUCGGGUGCAAUCAAGUAGGUGUUGAAGGGGUCUUCUCUUUACAUGAUGACAGAAGGAAUUUUACACUCUAUAUUCCCCAGUGCACCCGUCAAUACCACAGAGCAACUAGAAAUCAGGGCUGCGACUGUGCAAGUUAUUGAUAUGGCUCAAUAACAGUUUCAAUGAAAAAGUCAUAAAAACUCAGCAGAUAACGCACCGCCAAAGCAUCUUGAACGUUACUAAAAGAAAACGCAAGUAAAAACGUUCCCACUGCUUCCGAUGAAAAGGGCAGAAAGAACUGAAAAUGAUGUUCACAGGUGUUUAUAAUACGACCAAGUAAUUUGAUUGGAGUAGAGUACAACAGCACUGGGACUUUUAACUAUACAUGUAUCACUCCGCUUUACAGGUGUUCUAAGAACCGUUAAUUACAUUAACAAUCGUUAUCUUAGAUUGUAAAAAAAACUUCGCACCGCAAAGAUGAUCAAUGUUUCCACAAAUAACAUUUGAGUUCAAUUAUGAAUGGUCGUCAGGAGAGGACGGUAACGUGUAGACCUAUACAAAGUAGCAGUAGCAAGCUAAUGUGUAGGAAAAUGUAUAUGUGGUGCUUGGCAACAGUCCAGUCCCAGACCAGGGGCCUGUUGCACAAAAGUAGAAUUAAGACAUCCGGGAUAAAUGACUCAGCUGAGCUCAAUGAAGCCAAAACAUGUGCGUCCAGGCUUAAUUGGUUGCACAAAGACCAAGCCAGGAUGAGCAGACACGGAUUCAUUAAGCCAGGUGAAACCAAUCCUGGAUAGGUGCGCGCUCACGGCUCACUCAAAUAGACCCCGCCACAGAUCACAGAUUAACUGAUUUACCAUGGCAACUAGAGCCGCGUACUUUUCCCCGUCGGAAGCACAAAUCCUCAUGGAGGCAUACGAGGAGGUAAAAGAUAUAAUUAAGAAGAAAGGCAACACCGCCACAGUGAUAAAGCAAAGAGAAAAAGCGUGGCAAAGUAUUGCAGACCGCCUGAAUGCGUAAGUAGUGCACAAUUACACACUCACCGCUCCGCUGAAACAUCACAAUUACAAUUCAAAUAUUUAAUUCACAUCUCCAAAAAUGCAGUUGUACUGUAAUUAUGAAACGGUUAAAUUUUUAAUUGAAAUGCACUGCAGAUAUGAGUGAAAUUGUGUAAAGUAACUCCAUCACACUGUAUAAAGCUAUGAUACAUUUUUUGAUAUUUUUACUGAAAACAAGACAAAAAUACCAAGUAAUUUUUUGCAGUGUGACUCCAUUGUGUGUGUGUGUGUGUGUGUGUGUGUGUGUGUGUAGAUUAAACAUGAACGGGCCAAAACGGACAUGGCAACAGGUCAAAAUCAAAUACAAUAACAUUCUGCAGAAUGGUAUGGUCCCUGACUAAUAUUUAACAAAGCACAAGCAUAUAUUGUACCCAGAAGGUGCCUGCUCACACAUUGUCUGUACUGUUUUAGCAGUGAAAAAGAAUACCCACAGACAAGGCACGGGUGGUGGGUCACCAAAGGCUGACCUUACCCCAGCAGAGGACAUGGCCUUGGAGCUAAAUAAAGGCAGGCCCGUCUUAGAGGGGAUCCCUGGGGGGGAAAGAGACGAGCAUAGGUUCCUCCCAAGAUGCCACCCGCUUCAUUCAAGUGCCUGGCAGCACUGUGUUCCUGUUAGAGCCACCAGCACAAGCACCAGACGAUGCUGAUCCAGGUGAAGGCCCCAGUACAGCAGCAACAGCACAUGAUGGAGACGAUGAUGAGGAGGAGACCAUCUCUCUGGAUUCCAGAAGGCAUGAGGACCCAGAUGCUAUACAGUGGGAAAACCAGCCUGGCAACAUAGUGCGUAUUAAUAAAAGGACACCACAUCCUGCCAAAUUCCAGCUGCGCUAAUUGUAUUGUGUUCACAGAGCUCACAAGCUAUCAGAAAGUUGUAUGGCAACCACCUCCGGCGCCAAAUAGAACUGGCAGACAUAGACAUUCAGUACAAGAAGAAAAAGAUGGAAAAUCUUGCACUGGAGUCCGAAAUAAAAAAGAGGACAAUUAGGAAACUGGACCUUGAAAUAAAAAAACUUGAGGGAGCUCCAAGAAGAUGACACAGCUCAAAAUAAAAAUUAGCAAUCAGUACAACCAAGUCAUCGUUAUAAGGCAUCGCCCUCUUUUGCCCACCCCCCCAGCACCAGGUGUGGCCACUAGCCUAUAUGAAGGCCCAAAAUUGUGUGUUCCUUUCUGCUCUGACAAUGGCAUGCCCAUUCGUGCGAGAUGUGGUGGAUGAAGAAGCACUUGUGCUGAGGAGAGCCUUCAGGCGAGAAAGGGUCUUCAGGGACCGGUUGGACCCACUGGCCUUCCCUGAUGACCAUCUAUAUGAAAGAUACAGGUUUUCUGCAGAUGGCAUCAGGUAUCUAUGCAGACUACUGGGUCCCAGGAUUAAGCACCGCACUGCACGGAGCCAUGCACUGAGUGUGGAGCAAAUGGUUUGUGUGGCCUUGCGCUUUUUGCUAGUGGAGCCUUCCUGUACUCAGUGGGGGAUGCUGAACAAGGCCACAAUUUGCCGCACAAUAAGGAGUGUGUGUCUGGCUAUCAAAGCAUUAGCAGAUGUCUUCAUCUCCUUCCCUGGCCACAGAAGACUCUGUGACAUCAAAGAGGAGUUCUAUAGGAUUGCAGAUGGUCUGCAAUGCUGACUGUGUGAUCAGCAAUGUUGUGGCAAAAUGGCCUGGCUCAGUCCAUGACUCCAGAAUCUUUCGGGCCUCUGAAAUCUAUCAGUGCCUAUCACAAGGUGAAUUCUCUGGUGUGUUGCUGGGAGACAGGGGUAUGGCUGCCAGCCUUUUCUCCUGACACCUUUCACAGACCCCCAGGAAGCACAGCAGGCCUACAACCAUGCCCAUGCCAGGACCAGGGCCAGAGUUGAAAUGACCUUUGGCCUCCUGAAGGCACGCUUUCACUGCCUUCACAAAUUAAGGGUCAGCCCUGUUAGGGCAUGUGAUAUUACUGUGGCUUGUGCUGUCCUCCACAAUGUGGCCUGCGUGAGGAAGGAGAGGGCCCCCAGAGUGCCACCAGCCAUGGACUGGGACAAUCCGGCAAUCUUCCCUGAUGACGACAGUGGUCGGCUGCUGAGGGACCAAUAUGUGUUGAAUUAUUUUAGUUAGUAUGUGUGCUUUCAAUUUUGGUUAAAUAUGUCCUGCGGUGGCAGAGGAAUUUGUUUUUUUUUUUUUUUUUUUGGGUUC